This 465-nucleotide ribosomal RNA is filed under the name uncultured Klebsiella sp. Its description in RNAcentral is "bacterial SSU rRNA". It matches the Rfam family "Bacterial small subunit ribosomal RNA", at positions 338 to 795 of the family's 1533-position model. The record is from RNAcentral. Lineage: Bacteria; Pseudomonadati; Pseudomonadota; Gammaproteobacteria; Enterobacterales; Enterobacteriaceae.
CCUACGGGUGGCUGCAGUGGGGAAUAUUGCACAAUGGGCGCAAGCCUGAUGCAGCCCUGCCGCGUGUGUGAAGAAGGCCUUCGGGUUGUAAAGCACUUUCAGCGGGGAGGAAGGCGUUAAGGUUAAUAACCUUGGCGAUUGACGUUACCCGCAGAAGAAGCACCGGCUAACUCCGUGCCAGCAGCCGCGGUAAUACGGAGGGUGCAAGCGUUAAUCGGAAUUACUGGGCGUAAAGCGCACGCAGGCGGUCUGUCAAGUCGGAUGUGAAAUCCCCGGGCUCAACCUGGGAACUGCAUUCGAAACUGGCAGGCUAGAGUCUUGUAGAGGGGGGUAGAAUUCCAGGUGUAGCGGUGAAAUGCGUAGAGAUCUGGAGGAAUACCGGUGGCGAAGGCGGCCCCCUGGACAAAGACUGACGCUCAGGUGCGAAAGCGUGGGGAGCAAACAGGAUUAGAUACCCUAGUAGUC